AUCCUUCUGGUUCUAACAAAUGAUGAUUGGUCCUUUCACAAACAUUUGUGAUAUGUGCAGCCUAUCCGUUACGCUAUGCACAUUGACCAUCUGAUC
Small nucleolar RNA from Misgurnus anguillicaudatus (oriental weatherfish), 96 nucleotides. RefSeq annotates it as small nucleolar RNA U13. The record is from RefSeq and is a predicted model, not a curated record. NCBI's taxonomy places the organism in Eukaryota, Metazoa, Chordata, Actinopteri, Cypriniformes, Cobitidae.